UGGGGAAUAUUGCACAAUGGGCACAAGCCUGAUGCAGCCAUGCCGCGUGUAUGAAGAAGGCCUUCGGGUUGUAAAGUACUUUCAGCGGGGAGGAAGGGAGUAAAGUUAAUACCUUUGCUCAUUGACGUUACCCGCAGAAGAAGCACCGGCUAACUCCGUGCCAGCAGCCGCGGUAAUACGGAGGGUGCAAGCGUUAAUCGGAAUUACUGGGCGUAAAGCGCACGCAGGCGGUUUGUUAAGUCAGAUGUGAAAUCCCCGGGCUCAACCUGGGAACUGCAUCUGAUACUGACAAGCUUGAGUCUCGUAGAGGGGGGUAGAAUUCCAGGUGUAGCGGUGAAAUGCGUAGAGAUCUGGAGGAAUACCGGUGGCGAAGGCGGCCCCCUGGACGAAGACUGACGCUCAGGUGCGAAAGCGUGGGGAGCAAACAGG
RNAcentral lists this ribosomal RNA (429 nucleotides) under Chloroflexota bacterium. Its description in RNAcentral is "Chloroflexi bacterium partial 16S ribosomal RNA". It matches the Rfam family "Bacterial small subunit ribosomal RNA", at positions 355 to 776 of the family's 1533-position model. The record is from RNAcentral. Lineage: Bacteria; Bacillati; Chloroflexota.